UUAACUCGAGGAUAACUCUGGGAAACUGGAGCUAAUACUGGAUAGGACAUAUUGAGGCAUCUUGAUAUGUUUAAAGAUUUAUCGGUUAAGGAGGGGUCUGCGGCGCAUUAGUUAGUUGGUGAGGUAAAAGCUUACCAAGACGAUGAUGCGUAGCCGGACUGAGAGGUCGAACGGCCACAUUGGGACUGAGAACGGCCCAAACUCCUACGGGAGGCAGCAGUAGGGAAUUUUCGGCAAUGGGGGGAACCCUGACCGAGCAACGCCGCGUGGACGAAGAAGUUCUUCGGAAUGUAAAGUCCUUUUAUCUGGGAAGAAAAAUAACCAAAUUGACGGUACCAGAUGAAUAAGCCCCGGCUAACUAUGUGCCAGCAGCCGCGGUAAUACAUAGGGGGCGAGCGUUAUCCGGAUUUACUGGGCGUAAAGGGUGCGUAGGCGGUUAAUUAAGUUUCUGGUGUAAGUGCAGUGCUUAACGCUGUGAUGCUAGGAAAACUGGUUAACUAGAGUGAGACAGAGGCAAGUGGAAUUCCAUGUGUAGCGGUAAAAUGCGUAAAUAUAUGGAGGAACACCAGUGGCGAAGGCGGCUUGCUGGGUCUAUACUGACGCUGAGGCACGAAAGCGUGGGGAGCAAACAGGAUUAGAUACCCUGGUAGUCCACGCCGUAAACGAUGAGUACUAAGUGUUGGCCAAAAGGUCAGUGCUGAAGUAAACACAUUAAGUACUCCGCCUGAGUAGUACGUACGCAAGUAUGAAACUCAAAGGAAUUGACGGGACCCCGCACAAGCGGUGGAUCAUGUUGUUUAAUUCGACGAUACGCGAAGAACCUUACCAGGUCUUGACAUGCUCUGCAAAGGCUUAGAAAUAAGUACGGAGGUUAACAGAUGCACAGGUGGUGCACGGUUGUCGUCAGCUCGUGUCGUGAGAUGUUGGGUUAAGUCCCGCAACGAGCGCAACCCUUAUCGUUAGUUACCAUCAUUAAGUUGGGGACUCUAGCGAGACUGCCAGUGA
RNAcentral lists this ribosomal RNA (1005 nucleotides) under Acholeplasma equifetale ATCC 29724. RNAcentral's name for it is "bacterial SSU rRNA". It matches the Rfam family "Bacterial small subunit ribosomal RNA", at positions 132 to 1158 of the family's 1533-position model. The record is from RNAcentral. Lineage: Bacteria; Bacillati; Mycoplasmatota; Mollicutes; Acholeplasmatales; Acholeplasmataceae.